UAACACAUCUGCAAUCCCAGAGAGCAGAGGAAUUCAUGGUUCCAUCCCCACCUCUCUGGAGAAGCUUGAGGCUCUCGUGGUCUGGGGCAUCUGGCAUGAAGUGGAUAGUGGAGUCACUAGUAUCAUAGUAGGCAAUGCCCAAGCUGCUGGAUGGUUCCAGGAGAGGGCAGCGUUGCCUGUCACCUGGUAAAUUAAGGCACGAUACCCUGUGGGUAGUCAUGCCAGCCAGCCAAAGUCAAUAUUG
This 244-nucleotide long non-coding RNA is filed under the name Pan troglodytes (chimpanzee). RNAcentral describes it as "long non-coding RNA NONPTRT015094". The record is from RNAcentral. Lineage: Eukaryota; Metazoa; Chordata; Mammalia; Primates; Hominidae.